AAUCAACGCUGGCGGCGUGCCUCAGACAUGCAAGUCGAACGCGAAAUUUCCCUUCGGGGAGAAAGUAGAGUGGCGCACGGGUGAGUAACACGUAGGUAAUUUGCCUUUGGGUGGGAAUAACUCAGGGAAACUUGAGCUAAUACCGCAUAAUGCAGCGGCUCGACAUCGAGACAGUUGUUAAAGCGGGGGAUUGGAGCAAUCCGACCCUCGCGCCUAAAGAGAAGCCUGCGGCAGAUUAGCUAGUUGGUAAGGUAAUGGCUUACCAAGGCGACGAUCUGUAACCGGCCUGAGAGGGCGGUCGGUCACACUGACACUGACAUACGGGUCA
This 328-nucleotide ribosomal RNA is filed under the name uncultured bacterium. Its description in RNAcentral is "bacterial SSU rRNA". It matches the Rfam family "Bacterial small subunit ribosomal RNA", at positions 32 to 333 of the family's 1533-position model. The record is from RNAcentral.